Molecule: long non-coding RNA, 872 nt
Organism: Neopsephotus bourkii (Bourke's parrot)
Lineage: Eukaryota; Metazoa; Chordata; Aves; Psittaciformes; Psittacidae
Exons: 2
Source: RefSeq, a predicted model, not a curated record
UCCUUCCCCCUGUGGCGCUUGCAAACGCCCUGUGAGCCUGCGGGCAGCAGCCCUGGGCUGCAGGUGGAGGGAAGCUCUCAAGAGCAGAGCCCCCUCUGAAUGUGACAAGGUGUGAGAAACUGGAAACUGCUGCGAGCUGCCCCGCGGUGCAGGUGGGAGCCAAGGCCACGGGGCUGAGAUGAGCCGCAGAUCCCCUGGCAAGCACCGGCUCUCUGACGCCGACCCCUUUGAGCGUGCAUCCAGGAGGAGUGUUGGGAGCGGGACCUCCCUGGAGACAGCUUUGCUGUCUCAGAUACUUUCCAUGGAGCUCUUCGAAGCUGCGUCCCCUCCCUGGGUGCAAAGCACACGGUGCUGGUGCUUGUGGGUGGUUUCCUUGCACUCUCCGGACCAUUUUCCAUCCCCUUCCCACCCCUGCAGCUCUGUAAUGCCCAUCAAAACCACGGGAGAUCCUCUCCUCGCUUUUGGAAGCGCUGCUGCCCCGCUUAGUGUCAUAGCAGAGGAUGCUCCAAGCGUCCCAGUGCUGCGUUUUAACUCCUUGUUGCCUGUUGUUAAACUCCAGUUGUGUGCCCUGUUUCCUUCCUGGUUCAUGCACCUCCCUAAUUCCCACCAGCAAACUGGAAACCAGCAGGGUACACGCGGUACCGGUUCAGCGUUCCCUCCCUGCAUCCCGGUUGUGUGCUGAGGAGGGGAGGAAAAGAGCUCCAUGGCGGGACAGCGUUGGUGGGGAUGAAGCAUGUGGCGUGUUUGCUACUGGGAUUCGCUGUUGCACGUCGUGUGGAGCCGAGAAUGGCAAGCCGAGCUGUCUGUUUAUCCACCAGCUAGGAAUUACCUGAGGGACUGCCCUGCCCGGUGCGCUCUGCUUCGUCAGGAAA